GAAGGAGAUCCUCAGCUGUGAGGGGAGACUGUUGGCCUUGGAGGAAGAGCACAAAGGUACUAAGCCUGACAAAAAUUCAUUUGUUGUUCAAAGAGUUGCCCAUCAGAGUAUGACUGAUUCACCAGUGAGGAUGCAGAACCCUCUCAUGGGACAUGAGAAAAAAAGCUCCUGAUUUUAAAUAUCCAGCACCUCUCUUCCGUGCACAACAGUAGGAUGUCACGUUUAGCAGUGGAUUGUGAAAUGCUUGAAAACUGGAAUCAUAGGAGCAUUAUUUAAUGCCAAGUGUUAUCCGCAUCAUAUCUGAAGCUGGAACAUGCCAGGAAAACAUCCUUCACAGUCUGCAACUAAUAUAUCCAGGCUUUCAGGAUCAAUCAUGAAUUGGCUGAAUUGUAAGUGCUGGAGCUAAAAUUGAGUCAAUAAAGUGCCCCCUUGAGUGGGCAGAACGAAGUCACAGCUCCCUUGAGCAUGUGAUGAGCAGGGACCGCCUCGUGCUGUAGACAGGGCGGGGAUGGAGGAAUCCCGCAUCCUGCGGCAGCACCCUCCCUGCUAUGCCGUGGCUUGUCGCAAAAUGGGUCUUGUGCUGCUCCAAAUAUAAGAAUCAUGAAGCCUGGAUUAUUCAAACAAAUUCUGGGGCAGUCUUCUGACUUUUAAAUGCUUCCUGGAAUGACUUUGUGAAAAAUGAGCAGCCAAGCAGAGGAACAGAGGAAUAAAGAAAAUGAAGGGAGACACGAAGUAUCAGCUGCAAAAGGAUCUUCUAGCUCGUGUCACCUGCAGCGGCUCCUACCCUGGGUGGACCGUGCCUCUGGGCAGGAACUGAGAGGUUGUGUAACGGAGGCGAGCUCUGCCAGGUCCUUUCUCCUGACGCAUCCCAGACCACACUAUGGCCUCUGCAUCUGAGGGAGAGAAGCAGCAGGGGCACGCCAUGAUGUUACCGCAGUGCUAUUCCCCACUGGGCUGCAAGAGCCAACUGUGACUUACCCAAAUGAUCUGCAGUGGAGUCAGCUCACGAGCGUACGAGCCCACAGAGUGCUUCUCCACCCUGUUUUGGUCCAAGUUCCUCAGCCGGUAUCUCUGCACCGCGUUUUGCUCUUCAUACACACAAGCUGUCCUAAGGUUAAUAUAGUCCCGUGGACAAUGCAACAAUUUCCAUGAAAAAUUCUUACAGUGGUGAAAGGCUUCACUUUUUUGGAGGGAAAAAAGAUUGUAAAUGAAUACAGUCUUUUUACAGACUUAUCAGAAAUGAGUAUGCAUUUCCCAGAGUCGGGGGAAGCAACCUUCUUCUUCCUCUAUGAAGAAAAUAGAAAGUUUUUUAAAAGCUAAAUUUUAAUAGCUGUCGAUGUCACAGGUCAGUACAGCUGGGAUCCAACACCAGGUCUGAGACUGUCAGAAAAAUCUCAGUUGUCUCCUGGAUAACUGGACACGACUGUUCCCCCACCCUGAUAAUGGAUCAAAAGGAACCAGAAGCAAAGGAUACUAGUGCCAGUGUUCAUUUUCUGUUCAAGUGGACGCAUGCUUCUGCAAAACCUCCUUCAUGUGACUGAUCACAAGCCACCCAAGCGACAACAAGAAGCAUUAGCUGAACCUUAAACAACCUCACCCUGGUGGGUGCUGCUGAACUGAGAGAAUAACACAGAUGGGAAAGUUUACAUUGGGAUCUGACACUCGCUCCAAGCUGAAGUUAAGAAGGAGACGGGGUUGGACAUUGCCUUUCACAUCAGAGCGGUUACUACACAAACUCACCUUCCCACUCAGCAUCAGCCUCCAGAAUAUGUCCUCUGACAUAGCCCAUUUGUAAGUUGACAUGCCUGAAGAUUUGCCAGUUACAUUAUUCCUGCAGGAAACACACAGAAGAAUAAGAGCCAGGAUUAGGCCUGCGAUGAGAAAAGCUGCAGGAUGACUAACUGAAAGGGCUGAUCCAUCACACACCAGAUACCACUUUCGUCCCAGCAGAUAUUAGGGUCCUUGGACAGAGUGUGAUUUCGCAUUCAUUGUUACAACAGUCAUUAUUCCAAAGGAGCUCACGGUUUGGCACUGAAUGAUGAUGAUAAUAGAUAUUGAAUUGCCUGAUAUCUGACAACGUCAUGUAUUCCAGGGAAGAGGUGACCACAUGGAUCUAGCAGAGUUUCCUCCUGGUGAUACCUCUGAGAUGAAGCAACUGGCAGAAGGCAUCACCAUCAUUCCAAGAAAUCUCAUUUCUCUGCAACUGGAGAUUUAGGAAAUUAAUCUGGUUUGCCCUGAUUUACACCAGAAUAAACUCACACGUUGGAAACUGGGCAUGGCAAGUAAUCGCUGGCACUGCAGGGGACUUCUUCAGAAAUAAUGAUUGCAAUGGGAGACCUUGGACUAAACACCAUAUUUGUUCCUGCAAUAAUGGAGCCUGAGGUACCUGAAGGCCUUUGUAAGCUAGGCAGGGGUCAGCCGCACUUUGUUUUAGCCCUGAGACUGAGGGAGCGCAAUCCAUCUUAAAAUCACGUUAUUAACCCUUGUGAUUUCAUCCUGGAGCACGUGUACUUCAUAAAGUCUGCAAUUACAAGGUCAGUCCUGAUUUGCAUCACCAUGAAAGGAGAACCAGUCCUGAAUAAGUAUCUCAUUGGACAAAUACUGUUUUGCUUAUUUUUGUUAUUAGAGAUAAGUCAGGGAGAGAAAAAAUGCAGAAGGAGGGGGUCAAAAUACCCUGAGGCUAAAUCAAAACUGGAGCCAAUCCAUAUUAAAAACUUGAGUGUGCCUAAAGUUAGCACAUGCAAAUCUACUCUUCUAGAUACAUAAACUCAAAUCCUUAAAGACACAUCAUAGCCUAACUCUCACUCGGGUGCUUAACUCCCAUUGAUAACACCAUGUGCUAAUUCAGGCACGCGGGUUUCCCUGUAAUGUUCUUUCUAUGAAGAACAGUUGGUCUUGAGGGAAAACAUUUACAUAGAUGACAACUAUUUUCAGGAAAAUGAAAAGUACUUGGUGAAAAAGGAGGUUUUGACAUUGUGUGAAAUAUGGGUUUACACACAGUAGUUUUUGCUGUGUGUAUAUAAAUGGGUGAUUUACCAUGUAUUGAUUUGCACACCAUUUGUAAGUGUCUAAUUUAUUUAUUUAUAGAGACGUAUGGAAACCAUGGUUUGAAAAAGCAGUUUGCAUAACAUCUGGUAUGUCAACAAUGUAACCUUUCAAUUUACUUGUUGGUGAAAAAGUCAAUAUAAUGAACCUGAACUCAGCAUUGGUUUACACAAAUUUCCUGGCAGACAAAGCAGUAAUGAUUUGCAUGUCAGUGUAAGUGACAUGUGCCCUCCAGUUUUGAGUAGUUUACACAGCUAAGAGGUAUAAAAAGGGUAGAGCACGUUGCUGGUUCCUUACAUACUUGUGCUGGCAGUACAAAUUACAUGUAUUUACAUGGUGUGAAACAUUUCAUGUAAUUUUGACUUCCAAUUUUUCAAAAGCAGCCUUUGAUUUUUUCACUGAAAACACUUCUUUUAUAAAUAUAUACAUGGGAAAAAAGAUAAGAGAAAAAUUGUAGACGUGAGGGUGACUUUAGAUCCUGGUAGCAUGUAAUCCAUGAGUCUUCCCUGGGUGCACUUGUUUUAAUUAGUUUUACAAUUUAUGUGUUUUCUACAGACAAAGAUAACGUACUGGGAUGUGAUAGAGGAAUCUAGUGGAUUCCUGAUUGCUCUUAAUAAUAUGCCAACAGGAAUGACGACAACAAUGUAUUGUUUAUACCUUUAUAUUACUGCCUGUACAAGACAGGUCACAUAAAUCACAUCGCUUUUGUUUCCACUCUGUGACUCAUUGCCUGACACUUUUGAAGUAGGAAAGUGGUAAAUGCUGUUGAUACUGAAUAGCAAAGAACCUCACUUAAAUGUAGAACCAAAGUCCGUUGAUGGCAUCACAUGUUCCCUCUUGAUUUUAGGGAGUUUAGGCCAGCGGAAGGAAGUCGUUGGCCAGUUCCUCUCACCAAACUAUCUGUGUGAAAAGGCAGGAGACCUUGUCUUAGAAAAGCGCCUCCGAACACAUCAGUCAGCCUUGACUUUGAGUACGUGAUGUGACAGAGGCGACGGGCUGAGAGGGCCGCACGGUGCCGGCAGGCACGGCCCGGCUCAGUGCGCGGGGCAGCUUCGCCUCCCCAGCCGCUUGCGUUCGCGGGGGAAGGGCACGGGGCGGACAGGACAGGUGGUCUCCUGCCUCCGCUCUGCCUCCCUCUCCUCUCCUGGCUCCCCACCCCAAAGAUCUGCUUCGUGGUUUGGAUUUCAAUCAAGUUACCAGAAAAAGGUGGAGGAGGGAAGGAGGCAGUUACUUAACCACUUUGCAUGUGAUUUUCUUUUUUUCUUUAAAGACCCAGCUGUUCUCUGUUUCCCAUUGUUCUGCCCACACUAUCCGGUUUGGAUCUGAUUUGGGUGGUGUAUGUCUGUAUGUGUGAGGGGAAGAGUUACAGGGAAAGCUUUGUGCAUCUGUUAUUAUCUGAUAGCUUUAAAAAAUUAAAAUUCUAUACUACCCCACACUAGUAGCUAAGAAAAGGAAAUUUCACCAGGUUUUCUGGAGCUUUCAUUUUUUAUGGAAGAUUUCUAAUAUCUAGGCUGAGUACACAGACUGAACCAAUGCCAACCAUUUAUAAGAGCUUCUAAGGUUUUUUAAUCAUUCUAUUCCACUUGCUUCAUAUAUUUUCUAUUUGUCUAUCGUUAAUAUUUCCUUUAUACAGUUAAAAAGAUGUUGCCAGAUGAUAUUUUCCUUUUAAUCCAGUUGGUCAAACUCCAUCACAGGAGUCUGGACCACAUCCAGUGGCCCUGGGUGAAGUGUAUGCCCCAGUCCUCUGCAGUUCCUGGGAGGCAGAAGGUGCUGGAGCAGAGCUCCCCCACCUCUCCCUCAAACCCGGUUUCCACUUAAGGGAAAUACAGGCCAGAAAGGAUCUGCCAUGACGUCCGACAGGUAUCCUGACUGGGAUGCCCAGCAUGCAAGACCUGAAGUGGAGCACUUUCUCCCUGCAGUCUAGGUAGAUCCUGACAUCCUCCCAGGUCUCCCAGCAUUUGGGGAUCUGCUUUUUUAAUAAUUUCUUCAAAAGUCACAUUAACCCUUUACCCGACAUUUGUUAUUGUAACUCAAUUUAAGCAAAAUUUUUUAUUAAUACAUGACAUGCUUUAAGCAAAUGCUUUUUUAGCCUGGGUCUUUUAAAUCCAGUCUUAUGUGGCAGAUAAGAUGCACCUGAAACUGCAUAAGGAAGCGCCUUUAUAAAGAUUAUGGGGGAAAGAAGGAAACACUGGAGAUUAUUGGGCAAGGCAAGG
Molecule: non-coding RNA, 5258 nt
Organism: Phalacrocorax carbo (great cormorant)
Lineage: Eukaryota; Metazoa; Chordata; Aves; Suliformes; Phalacrocoracidae
Source: RefSeq, a predicted model, not a curated record